This 28-nucleotide small RNA is filed under the name Bombyx mori (domestic silkworm). Its description in RNAcentral is "ovarian small RNA-21607". Lineage: Eukaryota; Metazoa; Arthropoda; Insecta; Lepidoptera; Bombycidae. The record is from RNAcentral.
UACUUCAAUUAGUUGAUUUUUGCCAUGC